RNAcentral lists this ribosomal RNA (465 nucleotides) under uncultured bacterium. RNAcentral's name for it is "partial 16S ribosomal RNA". It matches the Rfam family "Bacterial small subunit ribosomal RNA", at positions 28 to 507 of the family's 1533-position model. The record is from RNAcentral.
GACGAACGCUGGCGGCGUGCUUAACACAUGCAAGUCGUACGGUAAGGCCCUUUCGGGGGUACACGAGUGGCGAACGGGUGAGUAACACGUGAGUAACCUGCCCACAACUUUGGGAUAACGCUAGGAAACUGGUGCUAAUACUGGAUAUGUGCUCCUGCUGCAUGGUGGGGGUUGGAAAGCUCCGGCGGUUGUGGAUGGACUCGCGGCCUAUCAGCUUGUUGGUGGGGUAGUGGCCUACCAAGGCGGCGACGGGUAGCCGGCCUGAGAGGGUGACCGGCCACAUUGGGACUGAGAUACGGCCCAGACUCCUACGGGAGGCAGCAGUGGGGAAUAUUGCACAAUGGGCGCAAGCCUGAUGUAGCAACGCCGCGGGCGGGAUGACGGCCUUCGGGUUGUAAACCGCUUUCAGCAGGGACGAAGCUUUUUGUGACGGUACCUGCAGAAGAAGCACCGGCUAACUACGUG